RNAcentral lists this ribosomal RNA (700 nucleotides) under uncultured fungus. Its description in RNAcentral is "eukaryotic LSU rRNA". It matches the Rfam family "Eukaryotic large subunit ribosomal RNA", at positions 24 to 664 of the family's 3401-position model. The record is from RNAcentral. Lineage: Eukaryota; Fungi.
CCCGCUGAACUUAAGCAUAUCAGUAAGCGGUGGAAAAGAAACCAACAGGGAUCCCCCCAGUAACGGCGAGUGAACAGGGGUCAGCCCAGCGCCGAAUCGCGUCGCCCCCAGCGGCCUCGUGAGGUGUGGCGUAUGGACGGGCGUAGCUGCUUUGCGUUGGCGACCCAACUUCCUUCCGGAACGAGGACUCACAGAGGGUGACAAGCCCGUAGUGCCGCCUAAGCUUAGUGGUGUUUCUCCCGGCCUUGAGUCGAGUUGCUUGGGAAUGCAGCUCUAAUUGGGUGGUACACUUCAUCCAAGGCUGAAUACUUCCACGAGACCGAUAGUCAACCAGUACCGUGAGGGAAAGUUGAAAACAACUCUGGAGAGAGAGUUAAAAGCGCGUGAAACCGGUGGGGUGGAAACGGAUGGAGCCGACGAAUACGGCCCGCUCCGGCGGGUGCAGUGCGCUGAGGCUCGUGGUUGCCUGGCUCAAUGUUGGGGACUCAAAGCGGACUUCGCCCUCGGGUGUCGUUGCUUCCCCUUCGGCGGACUGUGGCGGCUACGUUGACGUGGUUGUGGUGUUCGGCUCUCGUUGUUCGUUCGCUGCUCUUGAUGGACGCUUGCGUUCGUCAUUUGCUUCGUUCGCUCGACUUGGUUGUCCCACUUCCCUCUCUCGGUGUCGAAGUCGGUCACCCAUCCGACCCGUCUUGAAACACGG